This 336-nucleotide long non-coding RNA is filed under the name Erythranthe guttata (spotted monkey flower). Its description in RNAcentral is "long non-coding RNA (EGUT_LNC002386)". Lineage: Eukaryota; Viridiplantae; Streptophyta; Magnoliopsida; Lamiales; Phrymaceae. The record is from RNAcentral.
AAAAUGAAAGUUAUUAUCGGUGGGAGAAAAAACAAGAAAAAAGCUGGAGAAAAAAUGGAAAGUUGGAUGGCGAGAGAAUCAUGAAUGAGUGUAUUCAAUAUUGAACAGAGGAGCGUGUUUCCAGAAAUCUGCCCUGUCCCUUCUCUCUCUCUCUCUUCUUUCUCUCUCUCUCUUAUUUCUUUUCUAGGAGUGUGUACAAUUACCAUGUGGGCCACACUGGGACUCUCUUUCUUUCUCUCUUUGCAAACGUUUUCUUCUUCGUCUCGUCUGUUUUGAUUCCCUUUUGCUCUGUUUUGUGUGCUUUUAAUUUUUUUUUUUUCUUGUUGUAACAAANNN